Pangasianodon gigas (Mekong giant catfish) is the source of this 80-nucleotide non-coding RNA. The record is from the annotation of a GenBank genome assembly. NCBI's taxonomy places the organism in Eukaryota, Metazoa, Chordata, Actinopteri, Siluriformes, Pangasiidae.
UGCAUGGUGGCUUAGUGGUUAGUACUUUUGCCUUGCACCCCAAGGGUUGGGGGUUCGAAUACUGCCUCCGCCCUGUGUGC